RNAcentral lists this long non-coding RNA (226 nucleotides) under Setaria viridis. RNAcentral's name for it is "long non-coding RNA (SVIR_LNC004975)". The record is from RNAcentral. Lineage: Eukaryota; Viridiplantae; Streptophyta; Magnoliopsida; Poales; Poaceae.
UUUUGUCUCGGGUGGUAAGAAUAACUCGGACUAAAGGUCACCCUUUUAAUCCCGGUUGGUGUUACCACUCGGGACUAAAGCUCACGACACCAACCGGAUAAAAUGGGGUCUUUUAUCCCGGUUGGAAACUCCAACCAAGAUAAAAGGGUCCCUCACGCGUGCCUGAAAAAGAGCUAAAGCUCUCGGACCCUUUUAUCCCGAUUUGUAAUACCAACUGGGAUAAAAG